Molecule: ribosomal RNA, 460 nt
Filed under: uncultured bacterium
Lineage: Bacteria
Description: partial 16S ribosomal RNA
Rfam family: Bacterial small subunit ribosomal RNA
Source: RNAcentral
CCUACGAGUGGCAGCAGUGAGGAAUAUUGGUCAAUGGGCGCGAGCCUGAACCAGCCAAGUAGCGUGAAGGAUGACUGCCCUACGGGUUGUAAACUUCUUUUAUAAAGAAUUAAAUUGGGCCACGUGUCCCUUUUGUUAUGUACUUUAUGAAUAGGGAUCGGCUAACUCCGUGCCAGCAGCCGCGGUAAUACGGAGGAUCCGAGCGUUAUCCGGAUUUAUUGGGUUUAAAGGGAGCGUAGAUGGGUUGUUAAGUCAGUUGUGAAAGUUUGCGGCUCAACCGUAAAAUUGCAAUUGAUACUGGCAGUCUUGAGUACAGUUGAGGUAGGCGGAAUUCGUGGUGUAGCGGUGAAAUGCUUAGAUAUCACGAAGAACUCCGAUUGCGAAGGCAGCUUACUAAACUGCCACUGACAUUGAUGCUCGAAAGUGUGGGUAUCAAACAGGAUUAGAUACCCUUGUAGUC